ACAAGGCAAGCUAGGAGCAGCAGAGUGAAGCCCAGGCCCUGCAGAAAAUAGCAGCUGAGGGUGAGGAGGAGAGGAGGGUGAGGAAGGAAUCCACAGAUUCAUUGAUUUCACCAGCAUCUGCUGUGUAAGAAGCAAGCUCUGGACUGGACUGGAUUUCUUGGCCACUUCCUCAUCUUGGUGCAGCGGAGAGGAGAGGCCAGACUCAGGCCUGAUCCAGCUCCCCUGACCCCAGCCCUGCGUACCCUCAGCUCGGCCCCCUCUUCCCACAGGCUUGGGACUCGCUCUGGGGGGCCCUGCUCUUCCCAGGGGUUCCUGGGGGCUUGAGGAGCCUUCUGCCUGCAGCCACAAGCCUUCUUGGGGAGCAGCCGACCGGCUCCAAGCCUGGCUGACUGAAAUGAGAUUCAGAAGAGAACCUCAUCGCCUCCUGCCCCCGAGCCCGCUUCCCUCACUCUAAAUAAUUUAGACAAACACACAUCUCUUUCACAGUGGCUGCCCUGAGCCCCUUUUGUCAAAAUCAGUCCUUUGCACAAUGUUUUCAGAGGACAGGAGGUUGCCACGAGCCGUUGGAUUCGGGGCAGAUGCAUCAUGCAUGACGGGAGACAGCUGCUCCGGCCCCGCCCAGCCCCAGCGGCUACAGUGGCGAGACACCUCCGAACCCCAGCCAGCUGCAGGAUUAUUCCAGAAGGCCCAACCCUUGUCCUGCUGCAGCUCGGAGCCUCCUGAGAAGAACAGACACCCAGACACUGAAG
Molecule: long non-coding RNA, 749 nt
Filed under: Pan troglodytes (chimpanzee)
Lineage: Eukaryota; Metazoa; Chordata; Mammalia; Primates; Hominidae
Description: lncRNA (ENSPTRG00000054002.1)
Source: RNAcentral